Non-coding RNA from Poecilia latipinna (sailfin molly), 1157 nucleotides. The record is from the annotation of a RefSeq genome assembly. NCBI's taxonomy places the organism in Eukaryota, Metazoa, Chordata, Actinopteri, Cyprinodontiformes, Poeciliidae.
GUCAUGGUGCUUGUUGCUUCUGCUGGCUUGACUGACAGAUCUGAGUCCUGCAGUGUUGAACUCACAGGACUAUAAACCUUCUCAGUUCACUGGAGGAUCAGCUGACCAUGCAAAGCCUCCACUCUAUGGAAAUCAUCUCUCUGCUCUCAGACAAACAGAGACACUGAACCAACACUAAUAGAUACUGGAUUUAAAACUCUCAUCAUCUUAUUGGAAGAGGAGAAAAUAAAACAGAAACAACAUGAAGGAUUUUCACUUCUUGGAUUAAAAUAUUUUUUUUAGAAGUUUUUCUAAAACUCAUAGGUAAAUAUCUUACUGUAUAUAUCAAUGUAAGUAGAUAUUUUUUAAAAUGGGUAUAUGAAUUAAAUUGCUUUGAAAAAUGGUUUUAGCAUUUAAACAUAAUAGAAGCUGAAUUGUUAAACAGUGUUGCACAGGAUGGGAAGAAACUUUUACUUUUCAUUGGUGAUAAAAUGAAAAAAUUCUCAGAAAUUAUGAAUGAAUUUAAAGCUGAAUUAAUGUUGGAUGAUUUGCAGAUUAAAUACAGUUUAAUCUGUGAUUUUUAUCACUUUAAAAACAUCAUUUCAGCAGCUAGAUGUCUCCUGACAGUGCAGGAGGUUUUUGUACGGCCUCUCAAUGAGUUUGUAUCACUGUGGGUCACUUUUGGUGGAGGAACUAAACUCGUCGUUAACUUGGGUGUGUUGCGGCCCACCCUGACCGUCCUGCCCCCCUCCAAAGAGCAGCAGCAGCAGAGCAGCGUCACACUGGUGUGUCUGGCCAGCGGGGGCUUCCCCUCCACCUGGAGGCUGGGCUGGAAGGUGGGGGGCAGCAGCAGGUCCUCAGGGGUGUCCAGCAGCCCGGAGGUGCUGGGGGGGGACGGCCGCUACAGCUGGAGCAGCACCCUGAGCCUCCCUGCAGACCAGUGGAGGAAGGCGGGCUCAGUGAGCUGUGAGGCCAAUCAGAGUGGAGAGAGUCCUGUCACUCAAACCCUGGAGCCUGACCGCUGCUCAGAGUAGAGCUGCAGCUCCAUGGCUGGAACCAUCAUGGUGUCAUGUUUUAUUCACAAACAUCACUUUUCAUGUUUCAUUCGUCUUCCUUAUGUUCUCUCAUGUAACUUGGAGUAAAUGGAUUGUUUCAAUAAAAGUGCAGAUUUAUGUCAA